This 441-nucleotide ribosomal RNA is filed under the name uncultured bacterium. Its description in RNAcentral is "bacterial SSU rRNA". It matches the Rfam family "Bacterial small subunit ribosomal RNA", at positions 339 to 796 of the family's 1533-position model. The record is from RNAcentral.
CUACGGGAGGCAGCAGUAGGGAAUAUUGGGCAAUGGGCGAAAGCCUGACCCAGCAACGCCGCGUGUGUGAUGAAGGCCUUCGGGUCGUAAAACACUUUUCUGAGGGAUGAGCAAGGACAGUACCUCAGGAAUAAGUCUCGGCUAACUACGUGCCAGCAGCCGCGGUAAAACGUAGGAGACGAGCGUUAUCCGGAUUUACUGGGCGUAAAGCGUGUGCAGGCGGUUCGGCAAGUUGGAUGUGAAAUCUCCCGGCUCAACUGGGAGGGGUCGUUCAAAACUACCGAACUUGAGGACAUCAGAGGAAGGUGGAAUUCCGGGUGUAGUGGUGAAAUGCGUAGAUAUCCGGAGGAACACCAGUGGCGAAGGCGGCCUUCUGGGAUGUUUCUGACGCUCAUACACGAAAGCUAGGGGAGCGAACGGGAUUAGAUACCCCUGUAGUCC